RNAcentral lists this unclassified non-coding RNA (216 nucleotides) under Hevea brasiliensis (rubber tree). Lineage: Eukaryota; Viridiplantae; Streptophyta; Magnoliopsida; Malpighiales; Euphorbiaceae. The record is from RNAcentral.
UGGGAUAAAGGCUUAGUUGAGUUUUAUAUUGAUUCUGUCAACUAUUAAGUCCUUCAGUCCAAUUUUUGGCAUAUUCUUCUAGUCAGCUCCUCAAAAACCCGACAUGAAAACUUAUGGAAGACUGGCACCAAUAUGGAUCUAUGCAAAAACAACUACAAUGAAAGAUAAUAGCAAGACCAUAGCAAUGAGUUUCACUUACCACAUUAAGAGCAAACA